AGAGAGGAAGAGGAAGAAGAAGUCUGGUAAUCCACGGUUUGCAAUCAAUAAGGGCUCACCCGUCCCUUCCAGUUCCAGGCUGGUGUCCCUCCGGUCCCUCCGAUCCCAUUGAUCCCCCUCAAAGUUAGUUGGACGACUGGCAAGUACGGUCGUGGAGCCCCCGCGCGCUUCGUCCCUCGGUGCCGCAACACUUCGGGUCCCCUCGGUCAACCUCGGGCUUUUCCGUCUCCCGAGUCGCGCCGCUCGGCUCCCGCCAGGCUCGUGGAGCCAACUUUCAACUUCUUCUAGUAUCAUUUCCAAGCUCUCUUGUUUUUUGCCGAAAAAACUCUUUCUAGAUUUUGGAAUACUUGAGGCCGCUCUUCUUGUUCCCCCCGUUACACGUGCACGGUCACAGUCAUCCUUACACGUCAAGUUCUGUGCCUGCGCCUCAAGAUCUGUCGAUUAA
Molecule: long non-coding RNA, 445 nt
Filed under: Bemisia tabaci
Lineage: Eukaryota; Metazoa; Arthropoda; Insecta; Hemiptera; Aleyrodidae
Description: lncRNA ENSSSA3NGG002375
Source: RNAcentral